This 72-nucleotide transfer RNA is filed under the name Oryzias minutillus (dwarf medaka). RNAcentral's name for it is "tRNA-Asp". It matches the Rfam family "tRNA". From Rfam's summary of the family: Transfer RNA (tRNA) molecules are approximately 80 nucleotides in length. Their secondary structure includes four short double-helical elements and three loops (D, anti-codon, and T loops). The record is from RNAcentral. Lineage: Eukaryota; Metazoa; Chordata; Actinopteri; Beloniformes; Adrianichthyidae.
AAGGUACUAGUAAAAUGAAUAUAACGCUAGCUUGUCAAGCUAGAAUUGUGGGUUUAACUCCCACGUACCUUA